GGAGCCCCCCGUGACCCCAUUUAGUAUCUGUUGGGGGCUCCACCUGAUACUAAUGUGCCUGAGAGCCUUUAGUACCAGGUGGAGCCACCACCCAAUACUAAUGGGUGACCUUUAGUACUACUUAGAGCCCCCAACCGGUACUAACUUCCCUCCUAUAAAUAUGGUGUCUUCUUCCUAUUGCCCGAGCUAUUUCCUCUAGCUCGGGCUUCAUCCAUUCAUGGCGAAAUAGGGGAGGUGCUGCUAGAUUUUUUACCAUUUCAUGGGGAUUUCACUCAUUCAAGUGUUCUAAAGGUUAGAAACUUCAUCCUCCCUUGAUACAUGGUUAGUAUACUAUGUUUAAUGCUUUAGAGGUAGAGUAAUUUGAGAUUUUUAGAAUAAGGUACAAUAGAGAAAAAUUUCAUUUAUAUUCAUGUGUUAUUGAGAGCUCAUAUUUGUGAUUUUUAGAUAAGCUACAAUUUUUUGGAUGGUAUGUUUCGUAUUAGUCAAAGAAAUUGAUAUGAGUUUAGAGGAAUAAUUUUAUAGUUUAGUCCUUUACAAAUAUGAGCUAAAUAAAUUAUGGAAAAAAUAUAAUUUGUUCAUAUUUUAGUCAUUUGCAAAUAUGAGCGAGAUAAAUUGUGGUACAUAGAGAUAAUUAGAUGAAAUAGAGGUAUGUAAUUACAUUUUUAGAAUAUGCUACAAUAGAGAAAAUUUUCAUUUAUAUGUUAUGUUUGAGCUAAAUAAAUUUAUAUGUUAUAGUUUAGUAAUUUGCAAAUAUGAGCUAAAUAAAUUGUGGUACAUAGAGAUGGCUACUACUGCUGGAGGUAGUGCCGAUGGGGGGGCGAUCGUCAUUUCCUUUUGCAGCAAGGAGAAAACCAUAGUUGGCCCUCGUAAUAAGCAGAAGAAAAUGAGGAUGUGGGAGAGAGCAAUGCUUCAUUAUUUGGAAAGAUGUCAUGAAGAUGUUGUUGCGGCGGGUCAAGAACCUCCUAUUGGUAGCCGUUAUGCUCCACCGCUAGUCCCG
This 997-nucleotide long non-coding RNA is filed under the name Setaria viridis. RNAcentral's name for it is "long non-coding RNA (SVIR_LNC004206)". The record is from RNAcentral. Lineage: Eukaryota; Viridiplantae; Streptophyta; Magnoliopsida; Poales; Poaceae.